GGGCACUUAGCUCAGCGGCAGAGCACUGUCUUCACAUGACAGGGGUCACAGGUUCGAAUCCUGUAGUGCCCA
Molecule: transfer RNA, 72 nt
Filed under: Candidatus Nealsoniibacteriota bacterium
Lineage: Bacteria; Candidatus Nealsoniibacteriota
Description: tRNA-Val
Rfam family: tRNA
About the family: Transfer RNA (tRNA) molecules are approximately 80 nucleotides in length. Their secondary structure includes four short double-helical elements and three loops (D, anti-codon, and T loops). Further hydrogen bonds mediate the characteristic L-shaped molecular structure. tRNAs have two regions of fundamental functional importance: the anti-codon, which is responsible for specific mRNA codon recognition, and the 3' end, to which the tRNAs corresponding amino acid is attached (by aminoacyl-tRNA synthetases). tRNAs cope with the degeneracy of the genetic code in two manners: having more than one tRNA (with a specific anti-codon) for a particular amino acid; and 'wobble' base-pairing, i.e. permitting non-standard base-pairing at the 3rd anti-codon position.
Source: RNAcentral